UAGGGAAUCUUCCGCAAUGGGCGAAAGCCUGACGGAGCAACGCCGCGUGAGUGAUGAAGGUCUUCGGAUCGUAAAACUCUGUUAUUAGGGAAGAACAAAUGUGUAAGUAACUAUGCACGUCUUGACGGUACCUAAUCAGAAAGGCACGGCUAACUACGUGCCAGCAGCCGCGGUAAUACGUAGGUGGCAAGCGUUAUCCGGAAUUAUUGGGCGUAAAGCGCGCGUAGGCGGUUUUUUAAGUCUGAUGUGAAAGCCCACGGCUCAACCGUGGAGGGUCAUUGGAAACUGGAAAACUUGAGUGCAGAAGAGGAAAGUGGAAUUCCAUGUGUAGCGGUGAAAUGCGCAGAGAUAUGGAGGAACACCAGUGGCGAAGGCGACUUUCUGGUCUGUAACUGACGCUGAUGUGCGAAAGCGUGGGGAUCAAACAGG
RNAcentral lists this ribosomal RNA (429 nucleotides) under Actinomycetes bacterium. RNAcentral's name for it is "Actinobacteria bacterium partial 16S ribosomal RNA". It matches the Rfam family "Bacterial small subunit ribosomal RNA", at positions 355 to 776 of the family's 1533-position model. Lineage: Bacteria; Bacillati; Actinomycetota; Actinomycetes. The record is from RNAcentral.